Molecule: long non-coding RNA, 778 nt
Filed under: Podarcis muralis (Common wall lizard)
Lineage: Eukaryota; Metazoa; Chordata; Lepidosauria; Squamata; Lacertidae
Description: lncRNA (ENSPMRG00000022082.1)
Source: RNAcentral
CCCUCUUAAUGAUGGAGAUACCAUAGUAUUGUGUUGUGUACUGAGUUGAAUAGGAUCCAAAAUGCAGCAGUCUGAUUGGUCCUAGAACAAUAGGAUUCAGAAUGCAGCAGUCUGAUUGGUCCUAGAACAAUGCAGCAAUAUGAUUGGUCUGCAGAAGCCACCCAAUCCAGCUCCAGGUGGAAUCCGCAACCUGAUUGGCCUAUAGGAGAAUCCUGGAAUUAGCCAAUCACAUGCGGCCCAUUGUGUAAAUAAUGUAUAUAAAGCAGAUAUUUGGGGAGAACAUUCAUUCCUCGCUACUAUGAGCUGAAUAAAGAGCAUGAAAUCCACACUCAACUCCGAGUAUAUUUCAUAUUGAUUAAACUCUUCCCUGUUUUCUCCCCCUCAAGCGUUAUUUACCAUCUUGGUUAUCAAAAGGAAGAGCUGGUUGGACAGUCUUGGUACCAUCUCCUGCAUCCUGAAGAUACUGGAAGAGCUGUAGAGAUUCACAGGACUCUGAUUUCAGUGCAUGAUUCUGGGAGACACAUUCGGCACACGGUAGUCCGUCUUCUCUGCAAGGACCUGAGCUGGAUUUGGGUGCGAGUUCUUGCGAUAAGGGAGAAUGGAAAGGGAGGAGAGCUGAUCACUUGCACCAACCACAUCCUCAGGGAGGAAGAAGCCCUCUAUCUCCGGAACCAAGACCCACAGCAUGGAGCUGUUUCCCCAGCUAUCCCAAAUCUUCAAUGCAAUUCUGGAGAAAUACAGCCGCAGACGACAGAGCUGAACGAAGGCACUUUCUUCC